Non-coding RNA from Nicotiana tabacum (common tobacco), 839 nucleotides. Lineage: Eukaryota; Viridiplantae; Streptophyta; Magnoliopsida; Solanales; Solanaceae. The record is from RefSeq and is a predicted model, not a curated record.
GAAGCAAAUCUUGCUAAUUCCAAUUAGCCCCAAUCUCUUCAAAUCCAACUCUCUCACGCCUCUCUCUUCAUUUGACUUCAACUUCAACACCACAUUUACAAACACCCAGAUAUGUGAGAUUCACUAAUUCACACCGGAGAAGAGAACCCAGCACAAAGAACCCUAAAUCGUCUCCGACUUAGAACCCUAAACCUUGUCCAACUCCUCUUGUCCUGGCGAUAGAGCCCUAGAAAGGUAGCUACAUCCUACAAUUGGUCAAAAUCUUUGCAUCUUUCGGGAUAAACAAGCCCCAUCGGAGCUCAUUAACGUUGUAAACAAUAUCGAGAUGAGGUAUUUUACCCUUUCUCUUCUCUCACCUGUCGAUUUGCUUAUCCCACUAACAUAGAUCGGGUUUGUUUCUUUGUUUUCUUUCAAGAUCUAACUUUUGAGAGCUAAUGUGGUACGCAUUGAAACCUAGAAGUGGUUGAUGGUGUCUACCUGAAGAGCUUCGGUUGAAGCUUCAAGAGUUUUGUAUUUUUCCAGAAUUCCCAAAUUGUAAAAGGUCCAUAUCUUCCUAGUUCAAUUUUUUUAUUACUCAAACUUAAACUUGGGUUUCAUCGUGAAGCUAGAAAUGUAUUCUAUUUGCUAUCGAGUUCGAAUCUUUUUUCCAAGGGUUUCAGAUUUUCAUAGGAUGAUGACAAGAGGGCAACAAGAUCAGCUUUUCUUCAUUGUUGAUCUUUACAAACGUAAUCUGUAUCCUCAAAUAAUAGAUACAAGGAUUAUAAAUCUGUAGCCACUAAACUAGUUAUUUUAUGAACUAAUUUUCUGCAAGUAAUACAAGAAUCAUUGCUUCAUGUUCU